GGUGGAGGCUUUACAUACUUCCCUAUCACCUUUUGGUGUCUCCUGUGUCUCAUUCUGUCUAAUUUAGCUUUACUCUUUUGCUUUCUGUUCUCUUUCUGGCGAAAUCGUAAAUUCUUCUCUCUCUCGAACACACCUUGCCAAAAGACCUCACCUGUCGAUGGCCACAACCACCGUCUCGUGGGGUGGUCCGCAUCUGCUUCCUCUC
RNAcentral lists this unclassified non-coding RNA (205 nucleotides) under Hevea brasiliensis (rubber tree). The record is from RNAcentral. Lineage: Eukaryota; Viridiplantae; Streptophyta; Magnoliopsida; Malpighiales; Euphorbiaceae.